This 1426-nucleotide long non-coding RNA is filed under the name Nicotiana benthamiana. RNAcentral's name for it is "long non-coding RNA (NBEN_LNC008418)". Lineage: Eukaryota; Viridiplantae; Streptophyta; Magnoliopsida; Solanales; Solanaceae. The record is from RNAcentral.
UGUCUUCUGCUCUUUAUUCCAGAGGGUAUACUCAUUCUUUGAAUGACUACUCCUUGUUCAUCAAAGGUAAACCUGGCUCCUUUGUGGUGGUAGCUGUCUAUGUGGAUGACAUAAUACUCACUGGGGAUGACAGUGAUCAACUGAUUGCUCUGAAACUAUUUCUGGAUGCACAGUUUAAAAUCAAGGAUUUAGGGUCUUUGCAUUAUUUUUUGGGCCUUGAAGUGUCUGCUAUCCCUGGUGGGAUGCACCUUAAUCAGCACAAGUAUAUCUCUGAUUUGCUACAUCAGUUUGACUGUGUCAAUGUCUCUUCUGUUGUGUCCCCUUUGGACAUCAAUGUCAAACUUCAUGCUGAUUCUGGUGACCUCUUGCCCUCUCCUGACCAGUAUAGGAGUCUAGUUGGCAAGAUGCUCUUCCUGACUCAUACUAGGCCUGACAUUUGUUUUGCAUUCCAGCAUCUGAGUCAAUUUCUCAAAUCCCCCAGACUUCCCCAUAUGACUGCUGCCUUGCAUGUUGCAGCCCAACAUCUGAGUCAAUUUCUCAAAUCCCCCAGACUUCCCUAUAUGACUGCUGCCUUGCAUGUUCUGAGAUACCUUAAAGGCACUCCUUCCUUGGGUUUAUUCUUCUCUGAUCAUGCUGAUUUUUCUGUUGCUGGGUAUUCUGAUAGUGACUGGGCUGCUUGCCCUGAUACUAGGCGCUCUGUUACUGGAUUUUGUGUGCUGUUGGGUGGCUGUUUGAUAAGUUGAAAAUCGAAAAAACAGCCUGCUGUUUCUCUUUCCUCUGCUAAGGCAGAAUACUGAGCCCUUAGCAAGGUUGUUGCUGAGUUGACUUGGCUCUCUCGCUUGUUGGCUGAUCUUGGGGUCUUUGUUUCCUCUCUUAUUUCUGUUUAUUGUGAUAGUAUGGCUGCUGUUCAUAUUGCUAACAAUCCUGUUUUUCAUGAACGUACGAAACAUAUCGAGGUGGAUUGCCAUGGCUCUCUCGCUUGUUGGCUGAUCUUGGGGUUUCUGUUUCCUCUCAUAUUUCUGUUUUUUGUGAUAGUAUGGCUGCUGUUCAUAUUGCUAACACUCAUGUUUUUCAUGAACGUACAAAACAUAUCGAGGUGGAUUGCCAUUUUGUUCGGGACUUGUUGAUUUCUGGUUUUAUCAAGUUGCUUCAUGUGCCUACUUCUCGUCAGCUAGCAGACUUGCUCACCAAGUCUCUGCUAGGCGCUUUGCUGCUUCCGCUGCUCACCAAGUUGCAGGUGGUUUUCCCCUCCAACUUGAGGGGGGGUGUUGACAUACGAGAUAUUACAUGAUUUAGACAUGAUUUAGAUUUGUAUAUACCUGUACAUUUUGUGUAUACUCAGUGUAUAUUGUAGGUAUAUUUCCGGCAUUGGGUUGUAAAUUGUAACUGGGCUGUGAUGAGUUAUGUGGUCUGAGCCCAAUGUCCC